CCUACGGGAGGCAGCAGUGGGGAAUAUUGGUCAAUGGAGGAAACUCUGACCCAGCAACGCCGCGUGAAUGAUGAUGGUCUUCGGAUUGUAAAGUUCUUUUCUACGGGAAGAAGAAAGUGACGGUACCUUAGGAAUAAGCCUCGGCUAACUACGUGCCAGCAGCCGCGGUAAUACGUAGGAGGUGAGCGUUAUCCGGUAUGACUGGGCGUAAAGGGUGCGUAGGUGGUUUGGCAAGUUAGUAGCGUAACUCCAAGGCUCAACGUUGGAACUACUACUAAGACUGUUGGACUUGAGUGCAGGAGGGGCAGCCGGAAUGUGUAGUGUAGCGGUGGAAUGCAUAGAUAUUA
This 347-nucleotide ribosomal RNA is filed under the name uncultured bacterium. RNAcentral describes it as "partial 16S ribosomal RNA". It matches the Rfam family "Bacterial small subunit ribosomal RNA", at positions 338 to 699 of the family's 1533-position model. The record is from RNAcentral.